CACUGUUUGCGCAGAUAUCCUAAUUGAUGAAAGAUCCAAUUUGUCCGAAUAUCAGCUAUCCCAUGCAUUUCAAAAUAUGAAACAUUUAAUUGGAAGCUUGGCAGUAAUGUCGACAGACUUCAAAAGUGGCACGUUCCUAGCUUCACUGGAAUCGGUGGAGUGUAGCACGAAAAGUCGACUUAAACCGCCUGUUGAUAUAAUAGAGCCACAGUUUAUGUGGGGCGACAACCACAAUAUGAUAAACUUGGGACUUGUUAAUCUAACCUCUAUAGGUUGUUCCAAUAUUUAUUUUCUGAGAAACACAGUUAGACUAUUGAAUCUUCCAAACCUGAAGAACAUCUACAAUCCAAAUGCAUUUACCAACGUAAUAAAAAUCCAAAUUGAAGCCAAUUUACAUGAGGAUUUCUGCAUCACAACUCAAGAAAUGCAGACUUUCAUCACCACAGAGUUUGCUUCACUAAACUGUAGACCAUGCAAGAUUUGCGAAAACAAUGUAAAUAUGUGCAAUGACUCACUAGAGAACUUGUUAGAUAAUUGUACACAUGUUAAUGGAAAUGUUAUGAUAGGACCUGAAAAUGAGCAUCUUGAGCACCAAUUUGACUCAUAUUGCGUUCUUAGAGAAUUUGAAGCAUAUUUUAACUUUUAACUAUAGCGUUUCAAUUAUUAUCGAAAACAAUCCGCAGUUUUCAAAUUUAACAUUUCCAAAUUUAAAGCGUAUCUACACAAACUCCUUGCUCACUGCCAUUAUGCUCAACAACAACAGUGACAUUUUAUCUCCCAACUUUAAAAAUUGUGACCUGAUUCAUGCACAAUUCAAAUACCUGAAAACCAAGUCAAUCUCGCUAGAUGAGAACACGUGUGAAGCAAUUCAAAGAUCGGCAAACAAUACAUUGGAAGGAAAACUUGCAAACCAUCCAAGUUUAGGAAUCAUGGGAUUUCUGAAUUUGAUAAUUAUAUUGGGCGCUUUGUGA
RNAcentral lists this unclassified non-coding RNA (971 nucleotides) under Caenorhabditis elegans. Its description in RNAcentral is "Non-coding transcript of protein-coding gene irld-35". Lineage: Eukaryota; Metazoa; Nematoda; Chromadorea; Rhabditida; Rhabditidae. The record is from RNAcentral.